GACGAACGCUGGCGGCGUGCUUAACACAUGCAAGUCGAACGAAAAGUCCCGGCUUUUGUGCGCUGCUCUGGUUGCGAACUGGUGAGUAACACUUGAGUAACCUGCCCUUUCCUGUGGGAUAACUUCAUGAAACUUGAUCUAAUACCGUCUAGGAUCUCUUGCUGCAUUGUGGGGGUUGGAUAGUUUCGGCGGUUGGUGAUGGACUCGCGGCUUAUCCGCUUGUUGGUGGGGUAGUGUCUUACCAAGGCUUUGACGGGUAGCCGGCCUGAGAGGGUGAGAGGCCACAUUGGGACUGAGAUACGGCCCAGACUCCUACGGGAGGCAGCAGUGGGGAAUAUUGUAAAAUGGGCGGAAGCAUGAUGCAGCAACGCAGCGUGCGGGAUGACGGCAUGCGGGUUGUAAACCGCUUUCGCCUGUGACGAAGCGUGAGUGACGGUAAUGGGUAAAGAAGCACCGGCUAACUACGUG
RNAcentral lists this ribosomal RNA (468 nucleotides) under uncultured bacterium. RNAcentral's name for it is "partial 16S ribosomal RNA". It matches the Rfam family "Bacterial small subunit ribosomal RNA", at positions 28 to 507 of the family's 1533-position model. The record is from RNAcentral.